This is a long non-coding RNA of Mytilus trossulus (common blue mussel), 3392 nucleotides long. RefSeq lists it as uncharacterized. NCBI's taxonomy places the organism in Eukaryota, Metazoa, Mollusca, Bivalvia, Mytilida, Mytilidae. The transcript has 12 exons. The record is from RefSeq and is a predicted model, not a curated record.
UUCAACUUUCAUCAGCAGCUAUUUUAAAAGAUGAACGCAGCAUCCUCCACUUUGUUCACGAAGAAAAAAAGUACAUGUACCACUUAGGUCUAGGUAGUCUUUUGUAGAUGGUAACUGUCAGAUAUGCUCUGGUAUGAAAGUGGUAUCUACAGAGGAAUCAGAAUAGAGCAUUUGUUAUCAACUCAAAAGUCGCUCUUGCAAUGAUGCACUUUGAAAUGGGUCCUGAUCAUGUUGUGAAUUUUCUCAGCACAUUUAACAUAUACCCCUUCCUGAUCUUAAGAAGGAGAAAUGUAUAGCAUUGUCACUUAUGGAUGAGGCAUCUGAAUCCUGCAAAACUGCCAGUGCCGAAGAAAAAGCUAGUUCUCCUAGUGAUGAAUUGGAAUGCAGUUUUGAAGCUGAUUGGCAAAAAAGAGGCACUGGUUGUCAAUAUAACAGUAACACAGGGUCAAGUAAAGGCAUGGAGCCUGAAAUGGCUUUAUCCAUGGUUACAGUAGUAUGGACGACAGAGGGUGCAAAGUUGGCAUUAUUCACACAGACAAUGACUCUUCAACAACAUCAAGGCUGAAGCAAAAGUUUGCAAAGAUAAAAAAAGACAACAUUAGAAUCAUGUUAAAAAAACUGUUGAAACAACUGUAUUCAGCAGCAAAUAAGUACAAAGAACUGAAGGGGAAAGGAGUUAUUCCUUACAUACUCAGAUGCUAUAUGUAUGCUUUAAGUUCAAAACAGCUAAAGGAGGAUGAUCUUUGUGAAAGAUUAGACAGUAUAGUCCCACACCUAUUUGGAGACCAUUCAGGCUUGGGGAUUGGUGCACAUAUUUCAAGCAACCAGAAACUUACAGAUAUAAACAUCUCCAAAAAGGUGAACCAUUGACAAAUGCAAACCUGCGUAAGCACUUAGAGACAGUGACAGAAAAUUUACCAAAAAAGAUCAAGCCAACUUGUAGAUUUAGGCUCAAAACAGAGCAAUGAAAAUUUCAACAAUAUAGUGGCAAAUCAUAUGGUGGAACCAGUGUAUUAAAAGCAAGAGAUUCAGCUGCAGUUCUUUAGAAGAAUGAAGGUUAUACCUGGGUUAACAAGGUUAACAAGAAAGCAUUACUGUCACCAGGCACAAUCUUUGUUAGAGUUGGACAAAGGAUUGACAGAAAGAGACUGGCAAAAGAAGAAUAGCUCCUUUGUUCAAUUCAAACAUGACAGAUUUAAAAGAAAGAUACAGGUAUAUUGAUGUUACCUCCAUGAAAUGUUUUGAAGUGAUAAUUUCAAUGUGGAUAGGAAAGAGGACCAAGAAUAGGUAGUGUACCUCUAAUUUAAAAUUUAGUAUAUUAACUAUUCUUCAAUUGUAGCAUGAUGUGAUAUAAGAGAAGUUAUCUCAAUAAUAAUUACUGUCAAUUCAGAAAUUAUUGCAAGGUUUUUAUUAUUGCCAAUAUUGUGAAUGGAUUAUGAUCGCAAUAAUUAAAACUGGCAUUUUGAUUUUUUUUGUUUGAACUAGACAGGAUUUUUUUCUGAAAAUCAUAAACAUUAAAAUCGCAUUUUAGUUUAAAAUGACAAAAGCGCAAUAAUAAAUGCACGCAAUAAUUUCUUCAUUUACAGUACACCAUAACUUUAAAAAUAUAAGCACCACAUGUAUCAUCAUACAGCAGAUAUAGGUACUAACCGAGCGAGCAUGAGCAAUUUUGAUGUUACACGGUAACGAAAAUCUUUGUUUUGUUCGCAUAAUAUCAAUGUGUACUUCAAUCUAAAAAUAAUUGCUGUUUUAAGAAUUGAUUUGGUCCUAGGUUGAUGGUAAGAGAUGUCUCAUUAUUUUCCCAAAACAUGAGAGAUUACUAAAACAAUGUAAAAGCAUGUGCAAAGACUUUUCAAAGAAGUUGGCCCUGGUCUCAUCCGAUAUAAAUCUAUAUUUAUUGCAUCUCUUUUUCUGAUAGAAGGUCAAUGUGUGUGUGUUAUAAGUAUAGCCCCUUUCAAUAAUUGGCAUUGAAAUCUUUCAUACAUAUGUUAUUUUUUUAUAUUUUAACCCUAAAAAAGUGUUGUGUACGGUGUUUAGCUGACCACAUAAAUCCUUAUAUUACGAAUUACAAAUGUGACGAGGAUUGAUUGGAUAACAACACAGAGAUGUCAGUAUAUAUUCAGGAAACUGCCCGGGUAUAUACAACGUUUUUAUCCCCAAUUCGUUGGAACCUCAAAAACAUCAUCAUAACACCGGUAACUAUGUGACGUAGUCAAAAGCUAUCAGACUGUCAGAGGCUAAAAGAGGGAUAAUAAUAUGUGCUUCAGUCAAUAAUACAUUUUUAAUACAAAAUCACUCAAUUUAAACUUUUAAUACUGACAUUAAAUGUUAAAAGUGUUAUUAUAAAUAAUAACAUACAAGAUGAAAUUAUGUUCACAGCAAAUAAGAAAAUCCUUCACGAUGCCGAACAUAGAUAUCAGGUUGGGUUUUUCAAUAUAUAUGUGAUGUCAACAAAUACCUGCACUGGGAAAUAACAUUAAGGAUGUACUUAGGAAUAGUGAAACAGAAGUCAAUAAGAUCUUGCUCAAUCCUGUGUUGCUUUGAAGGUUUCCUGAUUGUCAUGACAUUCUCAGCCUAAGCAAUGUGUAUUACUGUAAUUUGAAUUUUGAAAUGACCGAGUGACGUUUUUUCAACACACUGAUCAACUCCACCAAAGCAAAUCACAUGACUUUGACAGUCAGUAAAUACCAGCGAAAAAUAUCUUUAUAAGAAAAGAAUUGUCGUAUUAAUCAUUUAAAAAAAAAGAAAAAAAACAGUUCGAGCAAAAAAGGGGGGGGACGCCCUCUAUCCCCCCCCCUCUGAAUCUGCCACUGACUACAGUAACUUGAGUUAAAUUUACCGCAACUACCAGAGCAAACAGUCAUUGUAGACGAAGGGUUGAUUAUAGAAGAGAAAGUUUUAAGUGCCCGAGAGCAACCAUGGAGGUCCGGGAGGCAGAUUGUUGAGUUGGGUAUGCUGGCAGAUGCACUUUAAGGAUGCAGCAAGUGUGGCCUGCCUCUCCAACUGCAUCAUGCCACAGCCUCCAUUAAUUAUGGACUAUCUGCUAUAUUAAAGAUACCAUGUUCAAACCUUGUCUGUAGAUCUGUUAACCAUGUACCAACUGCAUGGUAAAAGACACAACAGAACUUGGGAUUCUAACACAAAGCUUGCAUCAGCCAUGAUUCAUGCUGGUAUAGGAGAAAGGCAAGUCAAUAGCCUUCUUUCAGGGCUGAAUAUUCCACAUGUCAGUACAUAGACUGUUUUGGCAAGGCAAAAUGAAGCAGGCAUUAAAGAAUACUUAUUUUGUAUCAUAUUGUUGAUCUAAAGUGCAUUAGUGUAAUGGAAUAUAUAUGAGAUUUAUAAGUGUUAAUUCCAAAAAGAAAGUAGUGAAAAGGAAAUGCAUUUAAAUCUGU